RNA transcript from Synchiropus splendidus (mandarinfish), 2290 nucleotides. It is a transcript of the gene named LEM domain containing 1, with no coding region annotated. The transcript is spliced from 8 exons. Lineage: Eukaryota; Metazoa; Chordata; Actinopteri; Syngnathiformes; Callionymidae. The record is from RefSeq and is a predicted model, not a curated record.
UUAAUUUUGGAUCAGUGUUAUGACUUGGUGAAACCGUCUCUGACUCAGAGAGCAGGAGAAGCUCCAAAGCCAGUGUGGAUAUUGACCGGCCUUUCCGGAAGGAAGGACGGCCUGGGAAAUCUCAGCGAAGAAAUCUGCCUGAGAUUGCAGAGUUCAUAAAAUCAUCAUUGGAAUUCAUCAGCUUCAUGGCUCAGCACACAGACAAAAUGUUGCACCCCAGUAAUAAACAUGUUUCACAGUCCAUUGGACUAACACACUAACCUUGAUUAAAAUUCUGAGACGAAUAAUGUUUCAUCCAUCUCAGUUAAUGAUACAUACAAUUCGAUUCCUCCCCGCCCCCCUUUUUUCAUAGAUUAAUCAUUAAAAAGUAUAUUAGCAACAACAACGCUCACUCAAUAAAUAAGUGCCACACAACAAAUAAAAGUCUUGACCGGAAGUGUGUUCGACUUCCGGUAUACAUAUACUUGACUUUGUGCUUCACCGGCUCAUUUUAAUCAGCAAUACGGCAUUUGUGGGCGCUACUUGUAGCUCGUGUCAAUGAUACAUGAGGAAGCGUGUGCGUAUCCUUCACGGAAACGCGUUAUUCCAAGGAGCACUUGAACACACCAUUUCAAAUGAAUAACCGCUUCAUUCUCAUGAGAAAAGAAUAGUAAAUAAACGACGUUUUUAAAACGAGUUUUGUCCGUGGGUUAAGUCACAGCAAUUCUUAACUAAAGUCACAAAGCGAUCGUUUUUGAUUCCGCGUAUUGAAAGCGUCCUGUUCGCCGUGACGUCAUCCGUCCGCUCAAAACCUCGCGGUCCCUCCCUCGCCUGCACCCGCGGACGCGCUCAUCCGCGACCACCUGCGUGACAUGCCCGCGUUUGUGGACGACCCGUCUCAGCUCUCCAUAUCUCAGCUCAAGUCGGAUCUGAUCGCCCACAAUGUGGCGCUGCCUCCGUCGAAGAGCCGGAAGCAGGUGUACGUGGAGCUGCACCUGAAACACGUCGAGCAGAGGAAAGCGCAGUUCUCCAGCGACGAGGAGGAGCAGCAGCAGCAGAGUGGUCCAGAGGAUGGCGAAACCAUUGUGGACCCCAGUGUCUUGACUGAUGAUGACCUUAAAGCUGCGUUGUUGGCACAUGGGGUCACACCUGGGCCCAUUGUAGCUUCCACAAGGUCUGUGUACGAGAACAAGCUCCGAAAACUGCUUCAGCCUGUCGAAACUCAGCGAGUUAAUGGUGUGGUGGAAAGUGAGUGGUGCUUUGACAGUGAAGAAGAAGAAGAGGAGGAGGAGCUGGAUGAUGAUCAAGAAUUAGGUUCAAGAGGAAGCACACAAACCGAGGUGGAGGAGCAGGGACAGUUGCGUGAUCAGGGGGAUGAUUAUCUUUAUCCCCAGUGUUUUAUGCCUUCAUCACGACUGCGACCUCAUGCAUCGGGAGCCAGGGAGCAGGCACCCAAGCGGGAUUUAGGGAAUGCUAUGACAUCGAGUGGUUCAGCGCUUCAAGGGAUUAGGAGAACAUCCUCAGUAGCUCCUCCGCUAGGCACAGGAUUAGUGGUGUCAUCCAGAGCAGCGUCCACUGCUCCCACUUCUCCUGCAAAGUUCUUCAGUAUAACUGAAAUGGUCAAGGAGGAAAGUAUCACAUAUAAAUCCACUGUCUUUGUGGUCAAUAUUCUCGGGGCGGGGGGGAAACUCGCGCUGAUGUAAUUUCGCCUUAUGGUCGGCAGAUGGAGACAAAGAAGUCAUUAUCAAGCGUAGCGAGUGAGACGCCUGAGGCCAAUGCUCCAGGGCGUCGGUCACAGUCCAGCAGGGUCAGUAGUGCACUUCUUGUUCAGUGACACGCCGCGUUGUACUUGAAGAGACUCUUCAGAGGAGUGAAUUACACCGUAAUCUUGAUUGUCUCCAUAGACCGAAGUAUCAUACACAGCCAAGACGGAACAGUCUGUAUACUACACUCCCAAGUUUCGCCUUCAGCAGGAUUUAAAGGCAAAUCUUUUCCUGGUUGUCACUCAAAAAUUGUUUUUCUCAGCACCGGGCACCACGUCUUCUUGGGCUGGCUGGUUUUAUUCCACUGACCUUUUUCGUCUUGCUCCACAGCACUCGGGUGUCUUGCAAUGAUGCCAUUGUCUUUGCUGCGUACUAUAUUUCUCUUAUCAAUUUUAGGAGCCCUCGAGUCCUCUUACGCACUUGGUCCCUGAUCUCCAGACCACGCCAUCUGGAAUCUAUGCAACUCGUCGGCGGCCCAUCAGGGGAGCUUCCCAAAGGCCCGUCCUGUACGACUACCCCGACGCCCCGCUCAGUCCCGUCACCAGAGC